GGCCGCUGAAAUAACCCAACUGUUUAGAGUUUAACAUUUUGUCCUAUCUGUUUACCUGUUUAUCUGUUGAAGGAUUUAGAACCUGCCCUGCACUGGAGCCUCUCUGUCUGUGAACAACUCUCACACUUGCACCCCAGGCUAAAUGCGGCUGCUCUAGGAAGGACUUAGCUAUCCUCUGGGCCUGGCAGCUAAUCUGCACAGGAAGGUGCGUGGCUUAGUCUAGCCCUGGACAUCGGGCAAAUGGAGAGAAAGCAGCAGGAGACUUAUCUGAGGCAGAUGACAAAUUUAACAGGUUGGUAGAGUGACACACAGUAACCGUAGCAGAGAAAGAGACUCCUGUCACUGAGUAAUGAGUCUGGACUGCCUCGUCUCCGUUCUCUGCUCCAAGUCUCAAGGCCAAGUCAAGGAGGCCUAUACUUUGGAUCUGCCCACUGCACCUGGGGCCACGCUGGCACAUGGAGCC
Long non-coding RNA from Grammomys surdaster, 463 nucleotides. RefSeq lists it as uncharacterized. NCBI's taxonomy places the organism in Eukaryota, Metazoa, Chordata, Mammalia, Rodentia, Muridae. The record is from RefSeq and is a predicted model, not a curated record. The transcript is spliced from 3 exons.